CUUCCGUAGGGUGACCUGCGGAAGGAUCAUUA
RNAcentral lists this ribosomal RNA (32 nucleotides) under fungal sp. JH53. RNAcentral describes it as "partial 18S ribosomal RNA". RNAcentral also lists the same sequence under 1 other name. The record is from RNAcentral. Lineage: Eukaryota; Fungi.